This 1614-nucleotide long non-coding RNA is filed under the name Malus domestica (apple). RNAcentral describes it as "long non-coding RNA (MDOM_LNC001226)". The record is from RNAcentral. Lineage: Eukaryota; Viridiplantae; Streptophyta; Magnoliopsida; Rosales; Rosaceae.
AAUGAAGAGAGUGAGGGGUCCUUUUAUAGAAUAAGGGCUCCUCACUUAUUACAUAUUUACCCCUUCAUUUAUUACAUAAUUACAUUUGAGUCCCCCGAGUAUUUAUACGAGGUCUAAAUACGGACGCCCUAAGUUUGGUAUAAACAAUUGAUAUAUCAUAAUUAGCAGGCCUUUUAUUUGGUAGGUAACAUCGAUGAAGCUACUGCGAAAGCUACAACCUUAGGAACUUAGAAAUGGAGAGUAAAAUUGAAGAAAUGACCUUAAAUCUUUGUGUACUAACAUCGAAUCGAAUUGUUUGGGAUUCUAGCGUAUAUUAAUAAAAAUAAAUUUACGAUAUGAUUGAUAUGUCACACUUCUAGAGUAUAUUGAUAAAAAUGAAUAUCUAUGUAUUACAGUUUGAGUAAAACGUCACAUGACCGUAUUUUGUGUAUGGAUACUGAAAAAUUGCUUGAGAUAUUUGAAUGGAUUGCUAGCUGUAUCAGCUUGUUGCAGACUAACAUUACUUCAAAUUUUAUAGUAUAUGUUCCUUUCAAUUGCAAUGGUAACAAGAAAUUGGGAGAUCGAAGUUUUUGGAUGGUUGUGGCAUCCAAGAAGCUCAAACUUAUCUUCAACGUCGUAGACAAAUUAACCCAUCAAUUUCCUGGGUUUUGUAAGCAACCUGAAGCUAGCUAGCUGUUAAUUUUGUAGGUCUAAUCUAUUCCCAUGGUAACUAUCUUGAAAUUACGCUAGUGAUUAAUUCGAUCAAAGCUUGUCGCCGUCUAAUUAAUAUGGAUAAAUAUUGGCGUUCUUGUAUUUGAUGAGCCUCAUAGACAAUGUUGUUGUUGGAGUCCCUCGGGCUUGUUUUGUGGCCGUUGUUGUUUUGUAGUUUCCUCUUUGGGUUGUAAUCCCCGUUCUUAGAGGGAAAAAGAAGCUUGUAGCUCUCAGUCAGAGUGAUUAACAGUUUUGUAUUGUAUGAACAUUGUCCUUUGUUAAUUUGGUCGGAUAUGCUUCACAUCUUUCAGUAAAAAACAAGGUCGUAAUCCUAAGAAAACAAAAGGUCGUAAUUGAUGCCCUUGGGUUUUAGAACCACCCUUUUAAAUAAGGGAUGAAAUUAAAACUUAGGGUGGCUAUACGUAUAUGUUCAGGGUGGGCUUAUCAGCAUAGGUAUUUUUACUUCUCAUACACUCUCUUUCAAUUUCUAACUAUCUGAUCGAAAUUGAACAUAAAUUAACAAGAGUGUGUAUGAGGUAAAAAAAUGUGUGGGAAUGAUACUACCUUAUGUUCAUACAAAGUCAUAACCUGUGACACUUGGCUUUUGUUUUGUUGUAAAAUCAUUACAUAAGUUCAAAUCUUACGAAUGAAUGAUAUGUUAUUGCAUGAAAAGUUUCAGAUUUGGAACGAAUUUUUUCAUUGCAAAAUUGGUAAACUUUCCAAUUUACCCUUGAGGAGGGAUUGUGUUAAUAGUGGAAAUCAAGUAUCUCUGUGGCCUUACUCAUCUGAAUUCCAGCCCCCCCCUCCUCUUUUUUUCUCUACAUUAACUAUUGACACACACAAAUAAAAUUCAUAUUUUACCUUUUUUGUACAGAUAAACAAUAUUAAUUUACCCGAAAAAUAGGAGAAAAUUUUGAAUCGAAA